GAAACGGCUACCACUUCCAAGGAAGGCAGCAGGCGCGCAAAUUACCCAAUCCCGACACGGGGAGGUAGUGACAAUAAAUAACAAUACGGGGCUCUUUCGGGUCUCGUAAUUGGAAUGAGUACAAUUUAAAUCCCUUAACGAGGAACAAUUGGAGGGCAAGUCUGGUGCCAGCAGCCGCGGUAAUUCCAGCUCCAAUAGCGUAUAUUAAAGUUGUUGCAGUUAAAAAGCUCGUAGUUGAAUUUCGGGAUUGACGUGAUGGUCGUGCCUUAAGGGGUAUGAACUGUCGCAGUUGAUUUCUCACCUUCUGGAGAAGCAUGAUGUCCUUAAUUGGGUGUCAUGUGGAACCAGGACCUUUACCUUGAAAAAAUUAGAGUGUUUAAAGCAGGCAUUUUGCUCGAAUACAUUAGCAUGGAAUAAUAGAAUAGGACGGCAUGGUUCUAUUUUGUUGGUUUCUAGGAUCACCGUAAUGAUUAAUAGGGAUAGUUGGGGGCAUUAGUAUUCAAUUGUCAGAGGUGAAAUUCUUGGAUUUAUUGAAGACUAACUACUGCGAAAGCAUUUGCCAAGGAUGUUUUCAUUAAUCAAGAACGAAAGUUAGGGGAUCGAAGACG
This 608-nucleotide ribosomal RNA is filed under the name uncultured fungus. RNAcentral's name for it is "SSU rRNA". It matches the Rfam family "Eukaryotic small subunit ribosomal RNA", at positions 400 to 1006 of the family's 1831-position model. The record is from RNAcentral. Lineage: Eukaryota; Fungi.